GCGGGGGUUGCCAAGCCAGGUCAAAGGCGCAGGGCUUAGGACCCUGUCCCGUAGGGGUUCGUGGGUUCAAAUCCCACCCCCCGCACCA
RNAcentral lists this transfer RNA (88 nucleotides) under Candidatus Bathyarchaeota archaeon. RNAcentral describes it as "tRNA-Leu". It matches the Rfam family "tRNA". From Rfam's summary of the family: Transfer RNA (tRNA) molecules are approximately 80 nucleotides in length. Their secondary structure includes four short double-helical elements and three loops (D, anti-codon, and T loops). RNAcentral also lists the same sequence under 2 other names. Lineage: Archaea; Thermoproteati; Candidatus Bathyarchaeota. The record is from RNAcentral.